AGGUUCUUCCGAAGGGAUAAGUAUCAUACUUCAAAGGAUAGACUCAAGUUCAAAAUCAACUUUUCUUGGAUUAGUCACGGAGAGGUAAGUAUGGGGAUAGGGUAUUGUAUGGUCAGGUGAACCCUUCCUUCCAGAGAGCAGCUUAGACAUUGUCCCUUGUUUGAAGCUGCCAUCCUGACCCCUCUCUCACUCCCACAGCAGCAGCAGCAUCAAUAAACUUGGUGCAAUGAACAAAAUGUUCAUUAGCAUGUAAUACGGUAUACAUAUGCAUGCUUACGUCCAAGAGGCCCUGCUACCAUAAGCUAAGCAACAAACAAAAGCCAACCAAUGAACCACUGCAACUUCACAAAAAACAGCCCUCAAAACGACAGGGUCCAGGAUGUAAGAAGAAAUGAUGCCGAUGAUACUAGAGCGCCUAGCUGAGAUCAGAUCAGAAAGGGCUUUGUGGACACUAAGAGACGCCCAUCACCCAUUCUGAUGUCGUAUGCAGCCCAGUGCUCAAUAAGGAGGCACUCGUAAGUCCCUAUAGCUUUUGAGCAUCUGAACCACCAAUCCAACCCCUGAGCAAAGCAUCCCAUCUUGUGCCAAACCCUUUUUGUCUCAUGUGUUAGUCUUUUCUCCUCAAGCAGCACAGAGAUUUUGGGGCACACUGCUAGGCAUGUGGUGGAAGCACUGAUGGUGUCCAUGGAUCCAUUAAUUGGAGGUAAUAUAUGCAAUAAGACAUACACUCCACAAAGCCCUAGCUGCCCUGGCAAUAGCCCCUGCCAAUCUCAGCACUCAGUCACUGCCUCUCCUGACAGAUGUCUUGCCUCAGAAAGCUACCUCCCCCGUUCUUGCUCAUUCUACCAAAUAAAAAAAUGUGCCUGGGAACAAGAAGCUAUAAAGUACGUGAUAACUAUGGAGCACAUCGGGUGGCCAGGAGGGAGGCUGGGUGGACAUAAAUCCUUCCCCACAGUAUAGUCCCCAAGCCAAGGACACCCUUAGCCCUACCCGCAGUUUUGGAACACUCCUACCCAUAAAAAUAAAAUAGGUUUUUCCAAUUGAGCAUGUUAAAAGUCUCUUUCGAGUAGCUGCUGACCUUCUCUAAGAUAUUACUACUUUCUACAUUAAUAACAGUGACUUUAAUGAUGUCAAAGAUAUUAACAGGAUUAUUAUUUUAACAAUCAAUAUAAUGGUAAGGCAUUCUUGCCCUGCUAGUUGUGAAUGAGCUGUGGGCAGUGGGGUCUGAUGUGCUGGCUAAGAUCCAUCUGAGGAGACUGUAUUAAAAUAAUCUGUUUCGGUGUCAUCUCUCCUCCCAGACUGACUGUGAAUUCCUGGACAGCAGGGACCACAAUCUAUUUCAUCUUGGCAUCCCCACUGCCAUCAGGACAGGCUCUAGCCCAGAGUGGAUGCUUAGGGAGUAUCUGCCGAAUUGAACUCCAACAGAGCCACAUACCACAGUCCCCAUGCCCUACCCCCACCUCCUUCCUUAUCUAUGCUGUUUAAGAUACAAAGCGGCAGGCUGCACAGAUGCUAAAGCCAGGAAAAGUUGGAGAGAGACAGGAAGGGGAUAUCUUUGCAACAGCCCAAUCCACCCCAGCA
This is a non-coding RNA of Macaca mulatta (Rhesus monkey), 1581 nucleotides long. The record is from RefSeq and is a predicted model, not a curated record. NCBI's taxonomy places the organism in Eukaryota, Metazoa, Chordata, Mammalia, Primates, Cercopithecidae.